RNAcentral lists this long non-coding RNA (2331 nucleotides) under Hordeum vulgare. Its description in RNAcentral is "long non-coding RNA (HVUL_LNC003873)". Lineage: Eukaryota; Viridiplantae; Streptophyta; Magnoliopsida; Poales; Poaceae. The record is from RNAcentral.
AUCACUUCACCUGGCCACAAAUCGACCACCACGACAUGGGGCAAGGCCGGGAGGGCCUCCAGCCUAUGAUGCUCCCUAGAGUUGGUUGCAGAUUCCUUGGUCGUCCACUUGCUCUAAGCCCCCUCGUGUUCGCCAUCUCCUAUGCGAUCUUGUGUUGAUCUCCUAUGCAUGAUGGUGCUGCCAGUUCGACGUGUUGGAGCCAUCUUCCCCAACUAUAAGGAGCUUUGCCACCGGCCUUCUCUGGAGAUGAUCAUUCCAACAUCAUCCGUCCACCUGAGUUAUCAUUUUGGGUACGUGUGUGAUAUCCUUGACACACCGGACCCAUUCCCCCUCUCUUCGGCGUUCGUUGUGGUUUCCUCCUCAAAGAAUCACAGCUGAUAGAGCCACCAUGCUCUGUUUCCCCAUCCCACUCUUUUAACCGUGACGGGUGGGACCCCCUGUCUAUCUUUCUCUCUCUCGCCCAAAGCGGUAUGGCGCCCUUUGGAAAUACGCCUUUAACUUUGAUUUCUAUGGAUUUUACUAUUUACAAUUUAAAUUCAAAUAUUUUGAAUGUACUUUUAGCAUCUUUUACUUUUAAACCAUAGGUCCAUAUGAGUUGAAACUUUUUUGCAUUAGUUUUUUCUCGAACUCAACUUUGUGGUUGUAAAGUUUUAAAAUUUUCUAUGCUAUCUAAAAUUUCUAGUACAAUAAAAUGUUUUAUGUGAAAUUUCUUUUCAUAUUAUUUUUCACAAGAAAAUAAUUGCCCUGCAGAGGACUAGGAGUAUUGUGACACUCUUCUAAACUAUGGCAAGCCGCAACAUUCAUUUGCAAGGAUGGCAUUGCAAUGCUAAUGGUUUUAUUUGAAAUAUAAAUCAUUUCUUGUUGCAUAAUUAUUAAAUAAUACAUCUUAUUAUACUAGAUGCAAUCCACUCAUUUGAUGCCAUAUUUUUAUGCUAGAUAUGUAGACUUUAUGAUCCAUGUCAUGAUUGAAUUGAUAUCUUAGUUACUUACCUUCAUAUUGUCAUGAUUAAUGUGGAUGCAUUAUCAUCAUCACCCGUGCACCACAUUUCAUACUAUGGCUCGGAUCAUUUUACUUUCAAGUUAAACCUGCUGAUAAUUCAACUUGCACAAGCUCUUGAUUGAGUCAUGGUGUCGCCAAAUCAAACUCACCAGUACAACUACACAUGCCUCAACGGGAGGCCCUAAUUUCGUCUACUGGCAUGCCUCUCGCGAGUGCCUCCAACUAGGGAAGGUUGUGCGCUUGCGCUAUCUUGGCCCAAUGGUCCGGCAUAACCUUUUGUGUCAGUAGGUUUACGAUACCGAUGUCCCCAUUUGGGACGAGUUUGUUAGGCCAUGAUGGUGGCGACCACAAAGGUGGCGAAUGUCAUGAGUUUACAUCGGGGCCACCCAUGGCAUAGCCAAAAGGGGAGUUUGUUGGAGUUUCCAGGAGAGUGUUAUGCAAUAGGUCAAUUUUGUCAGAACGUUGUUGGUCUACACGAAUGGGAGCAUGAGAUCAUGAGUUUCGUGGUUCGGGUAUAGUGUACUAACCCUUGCAGUGUGUAUAUCUAUUGAUAGCCACGUCCUCGAAUAUGGACACAAUUCAUGGUAGGUCACACUAUGGGUCAACAUUAAUAAAUAAUUGGCACACUUAAUAACUCUGAGGUGGCCCAUGCUGAUCGGUUGAAGAUCAUGAUGGUAAGUUUUUGACGGCGGUUACAAGGUAUCCCCGAGAUAGUAAGUUGGUCUUAGGGACCGUGAGAUAUCCACAUGCACACCAUGCAUAAUAGUAUCAUGUUCACACUCAUGCAUUAACAUGCUAAAUGCAUUGCUAUUGUUUGUCAUAUUUUCUUUGUUGGCUGUGAGUUUGCGAGUGCAUUCAAAGUACUCACCUUGCUUAUCAUGCGAUAUGCAGGAGAAGCCAUGCAAAGCAUUGAUGUCGAUCAAUAUGAUGCAAUCUAGGAUCAUGUCCUAGUAGUGUCCCUGUGGACUGGAGUUCCACUACUUUGUUGUUUCAUUGCAACGUAUUUCUUUCCUUAUCAUCGAGGCCACUCGAGAAGUCUACUAAAUAAUGUACAUAAGUGCAACCCCACCGUGUCUGCCGCUUGGCCUCGCUUAUCAUGUACUAUUUGGAACUUUGUAUCCACAAGAGAUCAAUAGAGCGAUUGUUUUUUGUUCCAAGCUGUUGUGUGUUGUCACAAGACUUGAUGUCUCGGCUGGUAAUCCGAGGUAAACCGGUUGCUCCGAGGCGGGGUGCCGCAUUUGGCCUUUAAGGCCCUAUAUGUGUAAGACUUGACAAUAAUGGUCAUAUUUGUGUAAUACGGUAUGUAAUGGAAAUAAGAGUCUUGAUUAAUC